RNAcentral lists this ribosomal RNA (876 nucleotides) under Triticum aestivum (bread wheat). RNAcentral describes it as "partial small subunit ribosomal RNA". The record is from RNAcentral. Lineage: Eukaryota; Viridiplantae; Streptophyta; Magnoliopsida; Poales; Poaceae.
AUGCUCCAAAUGGGACUUAUACAGAAUAGCACUAGCUCGUUUGCAUCUCCGGUGUUGUUGGUGAAGAAGAAGGAUGGUUCAUGGCGUUUUUGUGUUGACUAUAGGCACCUCAAUAAUAUUACAGUUAAGAAUAAAUACCCAAUGCCAAUGAUCGAUGAGCUUCUUGAUGAAUUGUCCGGUGCAAAUUGGUUUACCAAACUAUAUCUCAAAUCUGGGUACCAUCAAAUUCGGCUAGUGCGUCGUGAAGAACACAAGUCAACUUUUAAAACACACCAAGGGUUGUAUGAGUUCAAGCAUCAGUUGUAUAUCAAGAAGAGUAAAUGUUCCUUUGCCCAAAAGCAACUUGAGUACUUGGGUCACAUCAUCAGUCACAAAGGGGUCGCUACUGACCCUUCGAAGAUCCAAGCUGUCGCUCAGUGGCCUACACCGACAACUGUCAAGCAAGUUAGGGGAUUUCUUGGGUUAACGAGUUAUUAUCGCAAGUUCAUAAAACAUUAUGGGAUCAUCAGUCGAGUAUUGUCAGAUUUGCUCUGUAAAGAUACCAUGUAUUGUUGGACAAACAAGGAAGAUGAAGCUUUUCAACAUUUGAAAUCAGCUCUUACUCAAGCCCCUGUCUUGGCUCUACCAAAUUUCAAAUUGCCAUUUGUUGUCAAAACAGAUGCAAGCAAGUAUGGUAUUGGUGUUGUACUGAUGCAACAAGGGCAUCCGAUCAGUUUUCUCAGCAAGGCUUUGGGACCCAAGACGCAAGGCUACUCCACUUAUGAGAAGGAGUGUCUUGCUAUCUUGAUGGCAGUGGAGAAAUGGCGGCCUAUAUCUCCGCUUUCCCCUCUUCUCAUCUACAGAACUCUGUGUUCUUGUGCUGAAUCCUUUGUGUGA